Molecule: ribosomal RNA, 639 nt
Filed under: Staphylococcus aureus
Lineage: Bacteria; Bacillati; Bacillota; Bacilli; Caryophanales; Staphylococcaceae
Description: partial 23S ribosomal RNA
Rfam family: Bacterial large subunit ribosomal RNA
Source: RNAcentral
CACUGCCGAGAAAAGCCUCUAGAUAGAAAAUAGGUGCCCGUACCGCAAACCGACACAGGUAGUCAAGAUGAGAAUUCUAAGGUGAGCGAGCGAACUCUCGUUAAGGAACUCGGCAAAAUGACCCCGUAACUUCGGGAGAAGGGGUGCUCUUUAGGGUUAACGCCCAGAAGAGCCGCAGUGAAUAGGCCCAAGCGACUGUUUAUCAAAAACACAGGUCUCUGCUAAACCGUAAGGUGAUGUAUAGGGGCUGACGCCUGCCCGGUGCUGGAAGGUUAAGAGGAGUGGUUAGCUUCUGCGAAGCUACGAAUCGAAGCCCCAGUAAACGGCGGCCGUAACUAUAACGGUCCUAAGGUAGCGAAAUUCCUUGUCGGGUAAGUUCCGACCCGCACGAAAGGCGUAACGAUUUGGGCACUGUCUCAACGAGAGACUCGGUGAAAUCAUAGUACCUGUGAAGAUGCAGGUUACCCGCGACAGGACGGAAAGACCCCGUGGAGCUUUACUGUAGCCUGAUAUUGAAAUUCGGCACAGCUUGUACAGGAUAGGUAGGAGCCUUUGAAACGUGAGCGCUAGCUUACGUGGAGGCGCUGGUGGGAUACUACCCUAGCUGUGUUGGCUUUCUAACCCGCACCACUUAUCGUG